UGGGCUGCCGACUGUAAGUCAUCAAUAAA
Molecule: non-coding RNA, 29 nt
Filed under: Mus musculus (house mouse)
Lineage: Eukaryota; Metazoa; Chordata; Mammalia; Rodentia; Muridae
Source: RNAcentral